Molecule: ribosomal RNA, 81 nt
Filed under: Aeromonas salmonicida
Lineage: Bacteria; Pseudomonadati; Pseudomonadota; Gammaproteobacteria; Aeromonadales; Aeromonadaceae
Also listed under: 1 other name
Description: partial 16S ribosomal RNA
Rfam family: Bacterial small subunit ribosomal RNA
Source: RNAcentral
ACUUAAAUUGAAGAGUUUGAUCAUGGCUCAGAUUGAACGCUGGCGGCAGGCCUAACACAUGCAAGUCGAGCGGCAGCGGGA